UGGGGAAUAUUGGACAAUGGGGGGAACCCUGAUCCAGCCAUGCCGCGUGUGUGAAGAAGGCCUUAUGGUUGUAAAGCACUUUAAGCGAGGAGGAGGGUACUGGUAUUAAUACUACCAGGUACUGGACGUUACUCGCAGAAUAAGCACCGGCUAACUCUGUGCCAGCAGCCACGGUAAUACAGAGGGUGCGAGCGUUAAUCGGAUUUACUGGGCGUAAAGCGUGCGUAGGCGGCUAAUUGAGUCGGAUGUGAAAUCCCCGAGCUUAACUUGGGAAUUGCAUUCGAUACUGGUUAGCUAGAGUGUGGGAGAGGAUGGUAGAAUUCCAGGUGUAGCGGUGAAAUGCGUAGAGAUCUGGAGGAAUACCGAUGGCGAAGGCAGCCAUCUGGCCUAACACUGACGCUGAGGUACGAAAGCAUGGGGAGCAAACAGG
This 430-nucleotide ribosomal RNA is filed under the name Pseudomonadota bacterium. Its description in RNAcentral is "Proteobacteria bacterium partial 16S ribosomal RNA". It matches the Rfam family "Bacterial small subunit ribosomal RNA", at positions 355 to 776 of the family's 1533-position model. The record is from RNAcentral. Lineage: Bacteria; Pseudomonadati; Pseudomonadota.